CAGCAAUUAGAUUGUUAUUAUUAUUAUUUUUAAAUGUGCUGAAUGUAUAAUGUAUGGUGAAUUAUUUCCCUAACAAAAACAAUAUGGAUUUAACACUUGUUUCCAAGUUUCAACUGAUCAGAUAAUGAACUAAUACUUCUCCUUCACUUCCCCCCACUUCUCAAUGGGUCUUGGAUUUGUGUGAUUUCUUCACUCGCCCCUUUCCCCCAAAGCAUUUCCGGCAGCCAUAGGCACAACAUUUAAAGACAAUGAAGACCACUGUCAACACAAUGGCCAGGAGGAAGCCAAUCACAUCCAAGGAGUGGUACUGAUACCAGGUGAGGUCAUGGGCGGCCGGGCGCAGGUGUGGUGCCCCCUUGUGCCUCAUCACGUAUUCCACCCAGAACACAGCCAGGAGCAGACACACACACAGAGGAAGAGAGGUGGGAAAGGCUGCAGGAACCAUGGUAAAUUCAAAGUCCAGAGCAAUCCAGUCGCUUUUACUGUAAGCUUUUCUAAUAGAGCUGGUUUAAAAGUAGAGGCACAAGACCUACU
Molecule: long non-coding RNA, 534 nt
Filed under: Mus musculus (house mouse)
Lineage: Eukaryota; Metazoa; Chordata; Mammalia; Rodentia; Muridae
Description: predicted gene 20528
Source: RNAcentral